UCAUUUCUCUUGGCCGGCCAAAGGAAGAAAAGGGAAGAAAAUAAGAAGAACAAAAACUUAGCUAAGAAAUUCAAGAGAAAUUCACAAAAUUUCAAAGAAUUAAAUGACAAAAGGCAAGAUUUUUCACUUCUAGCUUGUGAUCUACCUUUCCUAUGCAUUCUUUUUCAUUUUCCAUGGUUGAGAAUCAAGUUUGCAUGAGGAUACCCUUCCUGGCCGAACAUGGGGGGAGGAGUUUUGAACUUGGAUUUGGAUAGAUUUCAAUAUAUUCUAGUGUUUUUAGUUAGUUAGUGAUGUGUAGCAUGAAAAACAAACAAGAAAAAUUUAUUUUCUCCCAUCACCCUCCAUUGGCCGAAUCUUCUCUAUGGUGUGUUGAUGGUGGACUUGAUUUUAUUUCAAGUGAUUUGAUUAGGAAUGAAUGAUUUAUGGUGUGAGAAUCAAGCAUGAAAAAUUAUAUUAUUAGUGCACUCACCAUGGCCGAAUUUUUCAAGAGAAAAUGUGAGGAUGAUUUUGCCACAUUUCAAGUUAUUUAAAUCAUGUUUAAUGAUUUGGAGUAUCGGAGAGAAAUGGAAUUGUUUGGAGUUGAAUUGGACAUAUUGGCCAAUUAAUCAGGUGAUAGAUCGAAUUAGGCUAAUACCAUUUUAUUUAGGUAAAUAAUUGAAUUUAUAUUGAACAUCGUAUUUAGAUAGUUACCCGAGUAUUUCACAUCCCAUUUCAUGCAUUAGUAUAAAGCCUGAAUUGGUUUCACAACGGUUUAGCACAAAUGUAGUAAAUGGCUUAUUGUGCAUUAUGUCUAGGUGGUGAGCUUUCUGGCAAAAGUAAGGAGAUGUACCCGAGGAUCAAGAAUCGGAGUACUCGAAACUCAAUUUCUAUUACAGUGAGUAACCUUAUCAUCAUCUUGAUUAUCUGAAGUGAAUUUUAAUUCGUUUUUGUGAUUUUAUGGAAAAUGAGUUUAAAUGGUAAAUCUUUAUGUUUUAUAAGCAAAAUGUGAUUAAAUGAAAUGAUUUUAUAAAAUUGUCUUGAAAUUGAAUGAUGGUUUUGAAAAUGGAGUAAUUAGAGACUAAUUGUUGUGUUGUAAAUUAUGAUUUAAAUAGAAUGGCUUAUGAUAAUGUGGGCAUGAGUGGCUGGAUUGGUAAUUGUGCUAAACAUAUGUGAAUUGUUGUUUUGCCUUGACAUGCUGUGUUGUAAAAUAAUUGCCACGUCAUGCUGUUGGAAUUUUAUUGAUUUGGUGGGAUAUCGAUUAGCUUGCUGCAGUGGGUAGGUUCAUGGACCAACCUAUUAGAGGGGCACGAAAUUCGGUUAUAUACGUACCUCGGUUGGAGAGGCACGUAGGGUAACUCCCGAGGUAAAACUUUAGAUUUUACUUCACACUAAAUCACCACAUGAGGGUGAACUCAGCCAACGCCAAGGAACGGCUAUGUUUUCAAAAUAAAAACAUGAUUUAUGCGUACAUGACUUUUUAACAACCUUGACGGAUUCGGUUGGAAUAACCCUAGGCCAAGGUAUCCCUGACAACCGAGUAUGAGAAUGAUUUUGGUACGAGCCAAGCUUUUCAGGAAAUCAUAAGCCUCAUUGUUUAUUUGGGUGAAAUGAAUCUAUUUUAUCUUAUUAAAAUGAGUUCGAAAUGUUGUGAAUCAUUUUUAUGCUAAUCUAUUUUAUCUAUCUUCAUUUACUCAGUUUUAGAUAUUUUAGAUGAUAUUUGUUUACUCACUGGGAUUAUAUAAUCUCACCACCCUCCUUUCCACUCAUUUCAAG
Molecule: long non-coding RNA, 1752 nt
Filed under: Theobroma cacao (cacao)
Lineage: Eukaryota; Viridiplantae; Streptophyta; Magnoliopsida; Malvales; Malvaceae
Description: long non-coding RNA (TCAC_LNC000185)
Source: RNAcentral